CCAACACACACACAAAAUUCCCAACACACACAAUCCUCAACACACACACAAAAUUCCCAACACAUACAAUCCUCAGAACACACACAAUCCUCAACACACACACAAUUCCCAAUACACACACAAUCUCAAACACACACAAUUCCCUCACACACAAUUCUCAACACACACACAAAAUUCCCAACAUGCACAAUCCCCAACGUACACGCAAUCCACAACACAUACACAAAAUUCCCAACGCACACACAAAAUUUCCAACACACAAUCCUCUGUACACAUUGUCCCCAACUCACACACAACUCCCAACAUGCACAGAAUCCCCAACACACACACAAAUCCCCAACACACACAAUCCUCAACACACACACAAUUCCCAAUACACACACAAUCCCCAACACACCCAAUCCCCAGCACACACACAGAAUCUCCCCCACACACAAUCCUCAACACACACACAAUCCCCAACACACCCAAUCCCCAGCACACACACACAAUCUCCCCCACACACAAUCCCCAACACACACACAACCCCCAACACAUACACAAUCCCCAACACAAUCCCCAACACGCAAUCUACAACACCCACACACCACAAUCCCCAACACACAUACAAAAUCUGCAAUAUACACACAAUCCCCAACACACGAUUUCCAACACACACAACUCCCAAACAUACAUGCUCCCCAGCACACACACUUUCCUCCCACACACAUCCUAAGCCCGUGCCUUCCACCCAGUAGGCUUCCACUGUCUUCUGUCACGAGGAGGAAAGGCAGGCGGAGUCCGGGGAGCAGGGUAGAUGGGGCUAAGGGGCCCUUGGCUGGCCGGCCCUGCGCACCCCUCCCCCAUCUCCUUUUCUCAGCCUUCCUUCCCAGGGAACCUGGACACCCAGGCCCUUCCCCCACCGCCUGCUC
RNAcentral lists this long non-coding RNA (911 nucleotides) under Homo sapiens (human). Its description in RNAcentral is "non-protein coding lnc-RTP5-5:4". Lineage: Eukaryota; Metazoa; Chordata; Mammalia; Primates; Hominidae. The record is from RNAcentral.